This 398-nucleotide ribosomal RNA is filed under the name uncultured bacterium. RNAcentral describes it as "partial 16S ribosomal RNA". It matches the Rfam family "Bacterial small subunit ribosomal RNA", at positions 361 to 773 of the family's 1533-position model. The record is from RNAcentral.
AUAUUGCGCAAUGGGGGAAACCCUGACGCAGCGACGCCGCGUGAACGAUGAAGGCCUUCGGGUCGUAAAGUUCUGUCCUCAGGGAAGAAUAAAUUGACGGUACCUGAGGAGGAAGCCCCGGCCAACUACGUGCCAGCAGCCGCGGUAAUACGUAGGGGGCAAGCGUUGUCCGGAAUUACUGGGCGUAAAGGGUACGUAGGCGGCUAUAUAAGUCAGGUGUGAAAUACCAGUGCUUAACACUGGAAUUGCAUUUGAAACUGUGUAGCUUGAGUGCAGGAGAGGAAAGUGGAAUUCCUAGUGUAGCGGUGAAAUGCGUAGAGAUUAGGAGGAACACCAGUGGCGAAGGCGACUUUCUGGACUGUAACUGACGCUGAGGUACGAAAGCGUGGGUAGCGAAC